AUAAGUAGGUGACAAGCGUUAUCCGGAUUUACUGGGCGUAAAGGGCGUGUAGGCGGUCUUGCAAGUCAGAAGUGAAAUUCCUGAGCUCAACUCGGGCGCUGCUUCUGAAACUGCAGGACUUGAGUGCUGGAGGGGAUAGCGGAAUUCCUAGUGGAGCGGUAAAAUGCGCAGAUAUUAGGAAGAACACCGGGGGCGAAGGCGGUUAUCUGGACAGUAACGGACGCUGAGGCGCGAAAGCGUGGGGAGAAAACAGGAUUAGAUACCCGGGUGUUCCACGCCGUAAACGAUGAAUACUAGGUGUAGGGGGUAUCGACUCCCUCUGUGCCUCAGUUAACACAAUAAGUAUUCCGCCUGGGGAGUACGGCCGCAAGGUGGAAACUCAAAGGAAUUGACGGGG
This 397-nucleotide ribosomal RNA is filed under the name uncultured bacterium. RNAcentral's name for it is "partial 16S ribosomal RNA". It matches the Rfam family "Bacterial small subunit ribosomal RNA", at positions 523 to 918 of the family's 1533-position model. The record is from RNAcentral.